UACGGGGGGGGCAAGCGUUGUUCGGAAUUACUGGGCGUAAAGGGCUCGUAGGCGGCCAACUAAGUCAUACGUGAAAUCCCUCGGCUUAACCGGGGAACUGCGUCUGAUACUGGAUGGCUUGAGUUCGGGAGAGGGAUGCGGAAUUCCAGGUGUAGCGGUGAAAUGCGUAGAUAUCUGGAGGAACACCGGUGGCGAAGGCGGCAUCCUGGACCGACACUGACGCUGAGGCGCGAAAGCUAGGGGAGCAAACGGG
Molecule: ribosomal RNA, 253 nt
Filed under: uncultured bacterium
Lineage: Bacteria
Description: partial 16S ribosomal RNA
Rfam family: Bacterial small subunit ribosomal RNA
Source: RNAcentral